RNAcentral lists this ribosomal RNA (254 nucleotides) under uncultured bacterium. RNAcentral's name for it is "partial 16S ribosomal RNA". It matches the Rfam family "Bacterial small subunit ribosomal RNA", at positions 524 to 776 of the family's 1533-position model. The record is from RNAcentral.
UACGUAGGCAGCAAGCGUUGUUCGGAAUUACUGGGCGUAAAGGGUGCGUAGGCGGCUUUUUAAGUUUGGUGUGAAAUCUCCCGGCUCAACUGGGAGGGUGCGCCGAAUACUGAAUGACUAGAGUGCGGGAGAGGAGAGUGGAAUUCCUGGUGUAGCGGUGAAAUGCGUAGAUAUCAGGAGGAACGCCGGUGGCGAAAGCGCUCGACUGGACCUCUUCUGACGCUGAGGCGACGAAAGCUAGGGGAGCAAACGGG